RNAcentral lists this long non-coding RNA (477 nucleotides) under Androctonus crassicauda. The record is from RNAcentral. Lineage: Eukaryota; Metazoa; Arthropoda; Arachnida; Scorpiones; Buthidae.
UUUUAAUAAAAAUCACAAAUCAAUAUUAUUAUAAUAUAAAUACGCAUAUUGCACAGCAAUAAACAUUAACCUGUUUCUAUGAAUGAGAUUGAGUUAAACUGUAUUUUAAAGUAUUUUUUGUAAAUAAAAAUGCAAAAAUUACAAUUAUGCAUUUAAUAUUAUUAUUUUUUUUUAUAGUGAUAUGGUUGCUCCUCAGGGAAUGACUGCUGCCAGCCAAUAUGCCAGUGGAACUCAAGAAAUGAGGAGAGAUCAAUAUGAUAGUUUUGCAGGAAUGACAUCAGGACAAUACAACAGCAGACCAGAUCAAUUCACAAACUUUGCUCGAGGGAUGACAACUAGUCAGACUGAUGCUAGCAGAAUGACCCAAUAUGAUACAACGAGUGGAAUGAUGGAUUCAUCUUUCACCAGUAGACCAGAUUUGAGAAGGGAUGUUGAAGGAUUUAAUACAAUGUCCACACAACAGUACAAUACUGGAGG